GAUGAACGCUGGCGGCGUGCUUAACACAUGCAAGUCGAACGAUGAAGCUCAGCUUGCUGGGUGGAUUAGUGGCGAACGGGUGAGUAACACGUGAGUAACCUGCCCUUAACUCUGGGAUAAGCCUGGGAAACUAGGUCUAAUGCCGGAUAGGAGCGCCUACCGCAUGGUGGGUGUUGGAAAGAUUUAUCGGUUUUGGAUGGACUCGCGGCCUAUCAGCUUGUUGGUGAGGUAAUGGCUCACCAAGGCGACGACGGGUAGCCGGCCUGAGAGGGUGACCGGCCACACUGGGACUGAGACACGGCCCAGACUCCUACGGGAGGCAGCAGUGGGGAAUAUUGCACAAUGGGCGAAAGCCUGAUGCAGCGACGCCGCGUGAGGGAUGACGGCCUUCGGGUUGUAAACCUCUUUCAGUAGGGAAGAAGCGAAAGUGACGGUACCUGCAGAAGAAGCACCGGCUAACUACGUGCCAGCAGCCGCGGUAAUACGUAGGGUGCGAGCGUUAUCCGGAGUUAUUGGGCGUAAAGAGCUCGUAGGCGGUUUGUCGCGUCUGUCGUGAAAGUCCGGGGCUUAACCCCGGAUCUGCGGUGGGUACGGGCAGACUAGAGUGCAGUAGGGGAGACUGGAAUUCCUGGUGUAGCGGUGGAAUGCGCAGAUAUCAGGAGGAACACCGAUGGCGAAGGCAGGUCUCUGGGCUGUAACUGACGCUGAGGAGCGAAAGCAUGGGGAGCGAACAGGAUUAGAUACCCUGGUAGUCCAUGCCGUAAACGUUGGGCACUAGGUGUGGGGACCAUUCCACGGUUUCCGCGCCGCAGCUAACGCAUUAAGUGCCCCGCCUGGGGAGUACGGCCGCAAGGCUAAAACUCAAAGGAAUUGACGGGGGCCCGCACAAGCGGCGGAGCAUGCGGAUUAAUUCGAUGCAACGCGAAGAACCUUACCAAGGCUUGACAUGUUCUCGAUCGCCGUAGAGAUACGGUUUCCCCUUUGGGGCGGGUUCACAGGUGGUGCAUGGUUGUCGUCAGCUCGUGUCGUGAGAUGUUGGGUUAAGUCCCGCAACGAGCGCAACCCUCGUUCCAUGUUGCCAGCACGUAAUGGUGGGGACUCAUGGGAGACUGCCGGGGUCAACUCGGAGGAAGGUGAGGACGACGUCAAAUCAUCAUGCCCCUUAUGUCUUGGGCUUCACGCAUGCUACAAUGGCCGGUACAAUGGGUUGCGAUACUGUGAGGUGGAGCUAAUCCCAAAAAGCCGGUCUCAGUUCGGAUUGGGGUCUGCAACUCGACCCCAUGAAGUCGGAGUCGCUAGUAAUCGCAGAUCAGCAACGCUGCGGUGAAUACGUUCCCGGGCCU
This 1343-nucleotide ribosomal RNA is filed under the name uncultured bacterium. Its description in RNAcentral is "bacterial SSU rRNA". It matches the Rfam family "Bacterial small subunit ribosomal RNA", at positions 28 to 1381 of the family's 1533-position model. The record is from RNAcentral.